UUGAGGUUAAGUAUUAAUCAUCUGGGAACGUGUUAAACUGGAAAUUGAAGUUGGAAAACGAAGAGAAAAAGGGAAUUUCAAAUUGUUUUGAGUUUGGCCGACCGAAGAAGAGGAAAACGUUGUUUUUCGAAUUAGGGCCGUUCUUGUGAAGGAAAAUUAGACAAAAUGAAAUAAAAUUAAAGAGGAAGUAAAUCAGAAACUCGUAGGAGGCUUUAUUUGAAGAAAUUUGGCCGGAGAAGUAAGGAAAACGAAGAAAAACAGUGGCGGUAGAGUUAUUGCGAAAACAGAGGAUGCUCCGGUUUUUAGCAAAUUCGUGGAGUAAGAGACUAAUUCGAAGCUCCAAAUUUAAAGGAUGAACGGGAGAUGGAGAAAUCAAAAUUAUGAGAGGAGCCGAUUAACAGUAGCGACAAGUUCCUGGUGUCUGCUGAGCCGUCAAACGCCAUUAGUGUUAUUAAACAUCUAUUGUAUUGUUUGUGCAUGUAUUUGAGAAUAUUCCAGGGCAGCUAGAACUUGUGAGUUACAUGUCAUGGGAGGUUUUG
Benincasa hispida (wax gourd) is the source of this 539-nucleotide long non-coding RNA. RefSeq lists it as uncharacterized. The record is from RefSeq and is a predicted model, not a curated record. Lineage: Eukaryota; Viridiplantae; Streptophyta; Magnoliopsida; Cucurbitales; Cucurbitaceae.